Molecule: ribosomal RNA, 663 nt
Filed under: uncultured cyanobacterium
Lineage: Bacteria; Bacillati; Cyanobacteriota
Description: bacterial SSU rRNA
Rfam family: Bacterial small subunit ribosomal RNA
Source: RNAcentral
CGGACGGGUGAGUAACGCGUGAGAAUCUGGCUCUAGGUCUGGGACAACCACUGGAAACGGUGGCUAAUACCGGAUGUGCCGAGAGGUGAAAGGUUAACUGCCUGAAGAUGAGCUCGCGUCUGAUUAGCUAGUUGGAAGUGUAAUGGACUCCCAAGGCGACGAUCAGUAGCUGGUCUGAGAGGACGAUCAGCCACACUGGGACUGAGACACGGCCCAGACUCCUACGGGAGGCAGCAGUGGGGAAUUUUCCGCAAUGGGCGAAAGCCUGACGGAGCAAUACCGCGUGAGGGAGGAAGGCUCUUGGGUCGUAAACCUCUUUUCUCAGGGAAGAACAAAAUGACGGUACCUGAGGAAUAAGCAUCGGCUAACUCCGUGCCAGCAGCCGCGGUAAUACGGAGGAUGCAAGCGUUAUCCGGAAUGAUUGGGCGUAAAGCGUCCGCAGGUGGCUAUGUAAGUCUGCUGUUAAAGAGUCUAGCUCAACUAGAUAAGAGCAGUGGAAACUACAAGGCUAGAGUACGUUCGGGGCAGAGGGAAUUCCUGGUGUAGCGGUGAAAUGCGUAGAGAUCAGGAAGAACACCGGUGGCGAAGGCGCUCUGCUAGGCCGUAACUGACACUGAGGGACGAAAGCUAGGGGAGCGAAUGGGAUUAGAUACCCCAGUAGUC